UGGGGAAUAUUGCACAAUGGGGGAAACCCUGAUGCAGCGACGCCGCGUGGAGGAAGAAGGUCUUCGGAUUGUAAACUCCUGUUGUAAGGGACGAUAAUGACGGUACCUUACAAGAAAGUGACGGCUAACUACGUGCCAGCAGCCGCGGUAAAACGUAGGUCACAAGCGUUGUCCGGAAUUACUGGGUGUAAAGGGAGCGCAGGCGGGAAGGUAAGUUGGAAGUGAAAUCUACGGGCUCAACCCGUAAAUUGCUUUCAAAACUGCUUUUCUUGAGUGGUGCAGAGGUAGGCGGAAUUCCCGGUGUAGCGGUGGAAUGCGUAGAUAUCGGGAGGAACACCAGUGGCGAAGGCGGCCUACUGGGCACUAACUGACGCUGAGGCUCGAAAGUGUGGGUAGCAAACA
RNAcentral lists this ribosomal RNA (402 nucleotides) under uncultured Oscillospiraceae bacterium. Its description in RNAcentral is "bacterial SSU rRNA". It matches the Rfam family "Bacterial small subunit ribosomal RNA", at positions 355 to 774 of the family's 1533-position model. The record is from RNAcentral. Lineage: Bacteria; Bacillati; Bacillota; Clostridia; Eubacteriales; Oscillospiraceae.